Molecule: unclassified non-coding RNA, 490 nt
Filed under: Arabidopsis thaliana (thale cress)
Lineage: Eukaryota; Viridiplantae; Streptophyta; Magnoliopsida; Brassicales; Brassicaceae
Description: trans-acting siRNA2 (+delta)
Source: RNAcentral
AAACCUAGUCGUGACGUCAAAAACAAAGAGAAAAAUAAGUAUAAGCGCCGCCAAGCUCUGCAAAGAGAUCGAGAAAAGAGCCACUUUGGUGAAACACUAUAGUUGUGUUGGAUUCAGAGGACAGAAUCUCCUGUCACACUGAUGGGUUUCGAAGAUCAGAUUCAGCUGUUAGAUUGAUUCUCCAUCUUGUAUCCCACUGAAAGAAAACUAGGUAUAUGGUUGUGUGAUGAAGAAAUUACAAAAGACAUCAUUGAUGUUUGAGGAUAUAUGUCGAAAGUGAAGUUUUUAGCAAACUAUGUUGAAAGAGCAUUGUGAAGCACAUUAAAGAGCGUUCAUCACUUUUGCACUUGUAAUUUUCUCGGAUCAUUGUAUUUGUACCUUUUAGUGUAGUCUUCUGUUGUUGUAAUUUCAUUAUUAAUAGGAAAAAUUAUCUUAUGUUCAUUAUUGAUACCUUUCACUGUCUAAUCAAAUAAUCAGUUUCGUUGCUACU